AUGAGAAGAAUGCUACAGAAGGUUUGGAGACGGUUCGUAGAUACAAAGGUCGGUGAAUUUAAAAAAGAGCUAGAAUUCAAAAGGGCAAAGGCUAAGAAUGGUGAGGAUAUUCAGCCAGCGGGGACCAAUCUAUGUGCAUACUAUGUCUGUGAGAUAAUCCGGAGAUACACCUCUGAGCGGGUUCCGAGUGAUACCAAUGCUCAGAGGAAUAACCUCCGGAUGAUGCUUAGUCCAGAAGCUCGCUUCCGACCACUUCAAGAGGAACUAGCUGGAUGGUUCAGGAGGGAAGUCCUCCAUCCUAAAGGAGAACACCAUUACGAGGACGUAGAACUUUAUAUGCAUUAA
This 345-nucleotide ribosomal RNA is filed under the name Triticum aestivum (bread wheat). RNAcentral's name for it is "partial small subunit ribosomal RNA". The record is from RNAcentral. Lineage: Eukaryota; Viridiplantae; Streptophyta; Magnoliopsida; Poales; Poaceae.